This is a long non-coding RNA of Sapajus apella (tufted capuchin), 200 nucleotides long. RefSeq lists it as uncharacterized. NCBI's taxonomy places the organism in Eukaryota, Metazoa, Chordata, Mammalia, Primates, Cebidae. The record is from RefSeq and is a predicted model, not a curated record. The transcript is spliced from 3 exons.
UUGCUGGGUAUAUAUCUAAGAGAAUAUAAAUCAUUCUACCAAAAAGAUAUAUGUACUUAUAUGUUCAUCACAGCACUAUUCACAGUGGCAAAGACAUUGCAUAGAAUCAACCUAGUUGCCCAUUAGUGGUGGAUUGGAUAAAGAAAAUGUGGUACAUAUAUGCUACGGAAUACUACACAGCCCCCCCUAAAUUUGUUAUU